Molecule: ribosomal RNA, 426 nt
Filed under: Triticum aestivum (bread wheat)
Lineage: Eukaryota; Viridiplantae; Streptophyta; Magnoliopsida; Poales; Poaceae
Description: partial small subunit ribosomal RNA
Source: RNAcentral
AUGGGUCCUUGUGGUGGCCCCGGUGGCGACGUGUGGAAGAUGGACGUGCGCGGCGGCGACCGCAUCGUCAAGGUGAUCUUGUGGCAUGCAGGCGCCGUCGAUGCCAUCUCGGUUUCGUACGAGCGGGACGGCCGGAUUGAGCAGACCGAGCACUGGGGGAAACCAGAGGGUCGACAGCGCUCAGAGAUCUGUCUAGAGCCGGACGAAUACCUCACUGGUAUGAAAGGGCAUGCGGGCGAGUUUGGUGGCUCUUACCUCGUCGGAGCGCUUACUUUAGUUGGCAAUCGGCGCUCCUUCGGACCAUACGGGACACGGAAAGGCGCACCCUUCGAGCUCCCCGCGGCUGGUGGUAGAAUCAUCGGGUUCCACGGGCGCUCCGGAGGCCUCGUUGACGCACUUGGCAUUUACGUCGAAACGGACGGCUAA